UACGUAGGUGGCAAGCGUUGUUCGGAAUUAUUGGGCGUAAAGGGCGCGUAGGCGGCUUGUUAAGUCGGUUGUGAAAGCCCCGGGCUUAACUUGGGAACUGCAUUCGAUACUGCCCGACUAGAGUAUGGUAGAGGAAAGCGGAAUUCCCGGUGUAGCGGUGAAAUGCGUAGAUAUCGGGAGGAACAUCAGUGGCGAAGGCGGCUUUCUGGACCAAUACUGACGCUGAGGCGCGAAAGCGUGGGUAGCAAACAGG
This 253-nucleotide ribosomal RNA is filed under the name uncultured bacterium. RNAcentral describes it as "partial 16S ribosomal RNA". It matches the Rfam family "Bacterial small subunit ribosomal RNA", at positions 524 to 776 of the family's 1533-position model. The record is from RNAcentral.